Non-coding RNA from Zea mays, 144 nucleotides. The record is from Rfam. Lineage: Eukaryota; Viridiplantae; Streptophyta; Magnoliopsida; Poales; Poaceae.
GGCCUGAUGCCACGUCUCUGGUAGCUACAUGCUUUUACCCGAGAUGCUAUGAUCAGGCCGAUACAAAUUUGUUUCGCAUGUUGAUAGGAACCUGGGGACGGCUUCUCCAUCUGUCCCACAGAGCCGGUUUCUGUGAUCACAUUC